AAUAUUGCGCAAUGUGGGGAACCCUGACGCAGCGACACCGCGUGAGCGAUGAAGGCCUUCGUGUCGUAAAGCUCUGUCCUCAGGGAAGAAGAAAGUGACGGUACCUGAGAAGAAAGCCCCGGCUAACUACUUUCCAGCAGCCGCGGUAAUACGUAGGGGGCGAGCGUUGUCCGGAAUUACUGGGCGUAAAGGGUACGUAGGCGGCUAUAUAAGUCAGGUGUGAAAUACCAGUGCUUAACACUGGAAUUGCAUUUGAAACUGUGUAGCUUGAGUGCAGGAGAGGAAAGUGGAAUUCCUAGUGUAGCAGUGGAAUGCGUAGAUAUUAGGAGGAACACCAGUGGCGAAGGCGGCUUUCUGGACCAUAACUGACGCUGAGGCUCGAAAGCGUGGGGAGCAAACA
RNAcentral lists this ribosomal RNA (400 nucleotides) under uncultured bacterium. RNAcentral describes it as "partial 16S ribosomal RNA". It matches the Rfam family "Bacterial small subunit ribosomal RNA", at positions 360 to 774 of the family's 1533-position model. The record is from RNAcentral.